Molecule: long non-coding RNA, 355 nt
Organism: Hydra vulgaris (swiftwater hydra)
Lineage: Eukaryota; Metazoa; Cnidaria; Hydrozoa; Anthoathecata; Hydridae
Source: RefSeq, a predicted model, not a curated record
UUGUUUUUUUUUAAAGAUUUGAAGGCUCUUUCAAACUCUUCAAUCGAUAAGUCUAGAAAUAAGUCAUGGGAAGAAAGUAAAUUAUUUGAAGUUGUCAAAAAAUCAUUAAAGGAAAUAUUUGUAGAUGGAAUCCUAUCAGCCAACCUACUUCCGAUAUCAGUAAAGUAUUUAUUAAAUUCUUUCGCUAUUUCAUUUGGUUCAUAUACACAUACAUUGUUUAUCUUAAUCAUUUUCGGAAGGAAAUUUGAACAGGUUAUUUCGGAAACGGGAAAAUUCGCAUCGUACACCGAGAAGAAUGUAUUAAAGAACUUAUUAUAGAUUACAUUUAUGUCUUCAUUAAAAUUUAUAUGCUUCC